CGUACAUAUAUCAAUUUCUACGACUGAAUAUUAAUUUACAUCUCAAAUAUUAGUUGGGCAACAUUUCACAUCUGUUAGAAAAUCAGAGAAGAUCAGCGAAAAUUGUACAACAUGCAUUCAUUAAUUUUCUAGUGCUGCCCAAAAACAAUUGAUUAGGUGGGCCUAAUCCGACAAACACGGCGUGACACAAUUGCAGACUACUGCCCAUUGUCAAUAUCACCAUCUCCCUCCUAUUUUCCGCCCUUUCUCCUGUUAUUAAUUGGUUCCAUCGGCUAAUCCAUGCAGCUGGCCGUGCAUGUGUGUUAUCCUCAGCCUGCUUUCGACACAACACAUGUAAAUUAAUACCCGGCAAAUACAACACUAUCUGUCGGCACUGCACUAUCUUUCUUAUACCAGGCAAAUACAACACUAAUUUUAUCAAGUACAGAAGGACCAGAGUAUUUUCGUUCCAGAGGAACACUGCAAAAUAUGCUCUGUUGAAGCAUCUACCAGUUGCAUGGCUUCAUCAAAAUUUGAACUUGCAUGGUUCAACAAAAUCAAACAGUGAACUCUCAUGAAUAUUAUUUCAGAGGGCGAUGAUGCUCUAUCAUUGGGAUAGGACCUCACAUCUUAAUGAAAGGAAGCAGUUAAUAAUCAAGUCUAAAAUCUGAGUGAGACUUAAGCAGUCAAGCCCAUUGCAGCACCAUGUCUGAUAGAAAAACACUAACAACGUCUAAUAACUAACAAAGAGUGACUUGACCCAUAUAUAUGUCUCCAAAUGCAGGUCACAUAUUACUACACAAGAAAACAUAUGAGGUUGCUGCUGCUUCUUCACAUAAACGAUCAUAAAUAAGAUGAGAAGGCAGACACAGCAAGCAGGAAGGCAAGACCUUCCAGCACAACUGUGAUUCCUUCAACAGUGACGGUAGUAGCAGUGUCCCUGGGGACGUACCUGCAGUCACCCAUAUUGUACUCCUUCUGUGGACAAGAGAACAUACUUGUGUGAAGUUUGGGACUGCCAACGUCAAAAAUGAAGAAUGGAACUUGAGAUCUUUGCCUGUUCCAAGUAACAGCAUGUGGUUCCUUUUCUUUGAUAAGAAAUCAGAUGAUACAAGGAAAUAAAAUAAAAAGUAGCACUUCUGUUGUAUGUUUUGUAGCAUAUCUAUAUGAAAUGCAUGAGAUCAACGAAGAUGCAAGAUGACAAGACUCACCUGCUCAUUGUGGCCAAGGCUAUUCCGUGUUCCAUCCCUUAACAUUGAAUGCACUUGAACAAUCCUUAGGAAUCCAUGUCUCAUCAUGCAUUCCAAAGAACCUGGAUAGAGCAACUGAUUGUGAACCAAACUGAUUUAUAAGAAAGAUGUUACAAAAGAUCAAUCUACUGUCUAUUGAAUACUGAUUUCUUUCUUUGUGAUCCUUGCAACAACAAAAAUCUUGACUCUACUCGUCAUCAUAGUAUAGCUUGGUCAGAGGCUACUUCCCCAACCAUCAUUAGAAACUAAACCAUCUGGGUAUGAUGAAAUCAAGGGUCCUUCUAACAUGGCAUUGUGUGAUGUUUUGUACCAGAGAACAAAAUAAAAUUUGCUGUGGCGAAAUCAGUAGCACAGAAGCAAUAAGGAAAAACAAAAAUACAAGUAAUAUGUACAGUAAUAAAGUAUGUGAUGCAAAAUGCAGUAAACAAUUACAGUCCCAUGUAGUUAUACCAGAUGAAAGAAGGAUAUAAAAAAAUAGAUCACCAAAUGAAGCUCACACAGCUAUUUGCCACCAAUUUAUCAGACAACAUUGUACAUGAAUCUGCAAUACUUACAUACAGUAGAUCAGUAGUGCUACUUUUU
RNAcentral lists this long non-coding RNA (1811 nucleotides) under Triticum aestivum (bread wheat). RNAcentral's name for it is "long non-coding RNA (TAES_LNC008202)". The record is from RNAcentral. Lineage: Eukaryota; Viridiplantae; Streptophyta; Magnoliopsida; Poales; Poaceae.